GAUGAAGAACGCAGCGAAAUGCGACAAGUAAUGUGAAUUGCAGAAUUCCGUGAAUCAUCGAAUCUUUGAACGCACAUUGCGCCCUUUGGCAUUCCGAAGGGCAUGCCUGUUCGAGCGUCAUUAUCACCCCUCAAGCCCCCGGCUUGGUGUUGGACGGUUUGGCGGAGGCCCCUCACCGGGCCCUCGCCCCUCCCAAAGACAAUGACGGCGGCCUCGUUGGACCCCCGGUACACUGAGUUCUUCACGGGACACGUACUGGAGUAAGGGUGCGCGGGGCACGGUCUGCCUCCCCUUCAAGGGAGAACUUUUUUUUACAAGGUUGACCUCGGAUCAGGUAGGGAUACCCGCUGAACUUAAGCAUAUCAAUAAGCGGAGGA
RNAcentral lists this unclassified non-coding RNA (377 nucleotides) under soil metagenome. RNAcentral's name for it is "partial contains 5.8S ribosomal RNA, internal transcribed spacer 2, and large subunit ribosomal RNA". The stretch from base 1 to 120 matches the Rfam family "5.8S ribosomal RNA", at positions 35 to 154 of the family's 154-position model. The record is from RNAcentral.